Molecule: long non-coding RNA, 481 nt
Organism: Equus caballus (horse)
Lineage: Eukaryota; Metazoa; Chordata; Mammalia; Perissodactyla; Equidae
Source: RefSeq, a predicted model, not a curated record
UGCCCAUUGUAGAUCUAACUGCUAAUUAUGAGGCAAUGGACAGUUGCUUUCAGGCAACCCUGCCGGACGGGACAGGCAGCAGACAGCCUGAGAAGGUGGAGGAACGAGCUGCAAGAUCACCUGCUGUCAUUGAUGUGCACUGAAGAAAAAAACCACCAUCAGACAGUGUCAGUUCUUCCUAUAAUCCUGAGAAUUCAUUUCCCAGCAUGAGGCUACUGUUCCUUCUCUUUUUACUCCUUGUGUGUCUCAUCCAGACGGCAUCAGGUCAUGAAAAAACGGGGAGAAAACACGAAUGUCAAAAUAUGGGUGGUGCCUGCAAGCACCAAAAAACCCAUGGAUGCGCCAUCCUUCCUGCAGACUGCAAAAGUCGGAACAAACACUGCUGUAGAGUCUAGCUCAGUCCCCUGAGGAUCCCCAUAGCAUCACGAGAGUCUCACCACCACUGACUUCUGUUGAAUAAAAGCACCACCACUCACAUGGA